UUUUUUUUUUUUUUCUUCUUAUUUGAUAUAUGAGAACAGUCAGGUAGGCUUCGCCAACUGAGAAUAGUCAGGCGAGGGCAUGUGUUUGCACGGGUUUUAUGCUUGGAAUAUGCGUUGACUAGGAUUAUAAUUACAAGGAAAAACUUCAAAAACCUCUCUUGGGGUUUCAUUCUUUCUCACUUUAGUAUCCUAUAGUUUAAAGUGUAUCAAGUUAGUACCCUAUGGUUUCGCACUUUCUAACUUUAGUACCCUAUGGUUUAAAGUGUAUCAAGUUAGUAACCUAUGGUUUCGCACUUUCUCCAUUUAGUACCAUGUGGUUUAAUAUUUUAUUAAGAGAAAAAUAAAACCACAGGGUACUAACUUGAUAAAAAAAUAAAACCACAAGGUACUAACUUGAUACAAAAAUAAAAUCACAGAGUACUAACUUGAUACACUUUAAACCACAAGAUACUAAAGUGAGAAAGUGCGAACCCACAGAGUACUAACUUGAUACAAUUUAAACCAUAGGAUACUAAAAUGAAAAAGUGCGAAACCACGGGAGGUCUU
RNAcentral lists this long non-coding RNA (546 nucleotides) under Ananas comosus (pineapple). Its description in RNAcentral is "long non-coding RNA (ACOM_LNC027510)". Lineage: Eukaryota; Viridiplantae; Streptophyta; Magnoliopsida; Poales; Bromeliaceae. The record is from RNAcentral.